AGCCCUCCUCUACCCUCCAUCCAAGCACACCAUCUCUCUCUCGCGUCCCCGUCUCUCUCUCUCUCUCUCUCUCUCUCUCUCUCUUUCUCCGAAUCUCAAAUCAAUCCAAUCUAUCCAUCGUAGUCUUGAACCUGGAACCCUAGCAAUCUGAUCAACUUUCAUCUCAGAUCGAAGCAAGCCCUAGCGAUCUUCUUAACUGCCUCCGUUAACAGAAUCUUAGAAGUGAGAGGGUCUCUGAUCCUUCAUCUUCAUCAUCUCGAGGUCGUAGCUGCUCGAGUUCUGAGGCCUUCAUUAUCUCGAGGUCGUAGCUGCUCGAGUGCUAAGGCCGUCGCUGUUCGCAUCGCCGUUGACCCCUGUCAAACUCAGUGAAGUCUUGCGUCGCCAUCACUACUAUUUUAGUAGGAGAUCGUGACACAGAUGGAAACCCUUCAACACAUUCUAGAGAUAGCACUCAAAGAUAGCACUGAGGACCCUCCUGAGGUUAGGAAAAGAGAGCUUUCGAUGGGUGUGAUCAUAACCCAAAGAUUAUCAGUUGCAUUAUUAGAAUGUACUUGCCGGAAGCCAUGCCGACAUGGAAAAAGUAUCCGGAGGAGUGGAAAGAAGUCUGCUACAAAGAAUUCGAGGAAGCAUAUGAUCAAACAAUUCGAGAGACGUGUAUGGGGAUGAUAUUUCGUCACAAAGAUUUUCAAGCAUGGUUGUCAGCUUAAGGCUGUGUGCAAAAAGGCCAUACAUAUGGUUUGGGUGGAAGUGUCAACUCUCAAUCAGUACUUGGUGGUACGAACUAUCAUGAUUUUGAGACACCCAUCUCUUCUAAUGCUUCACAGAUCGAGAUUGAUGAUGUGUUUAUGACGAAAUUGCAAGAAAUGGUAGUUAAAGUUGCAACGGAAGUCGCAACAAAGUUCUACAUGCAAAUUCGUCAGGAAGAGAAAUCCACUUCAUAACCUUCUAUAUCUAUUCCACCAUCGAGAAUACCGCCAUUAGUAAAUUAAAUAUUCUUUAUAGAAAGCUUUUUCUUGUUAAUCUAUUCUUUAUAGAACAAUAUAAAAUCUCUGUUUGGGGAUGUGUUUCAAGUUCGGAAUCAUAACCUCUACUUUGAACAGAUAUAUAUGCUACUCUUAAAUCUGUGUAUUAGUCUCACAAUUGAGUUUUUUUGAAAUUAAAGCUGAUCCAAAUAGGAGAAUUAGAUCUAACUGAAUUUUCUAUUCAUGUUUAAGGUACUACUAGUUUUUCAAGAGCUAGAACAUAGCAAGCUGAUGGCGAGGAAGACAAAUUUGAUGGUGAAUGAAUGAUUUUUGUGUUUUUCGGAUGUAGGGUUGCAACUAGGAGUGAUUCUACAGGAAGGAAUGCUAAAGAGAAUAAGAUUGUUGGAAACGCUACCCUUGUACUCUACUGAUUUGUGUUAUAACUUGCUUUUUAUUUCACUAAUAGUAUAUGUACACAAUAUGUCUUUUUCUUUGGAGUUUCAACAUGGGAGAACCGUAAACUGGUCCAUGUUUUGUGUUUUGAUGGUGUAAGUUGUAAAGAAUUUUCAGUUGACUAUCAUCUUAUAAAAGUGAUUAGGAUCUUUUAUUGCUAA
Asparagus officinalis (garden asparagus) is the source of this 1576-nucleotide long non-coding RNA. RefSeq lists it as uncharacterized. The record is from RefSeq and is a predicted model, not a curated record. The transcript has 5 exons. NCBI's taxonomy places the organism in Eukaryota, Viridiplantae, Streptophyta, Magnoliopsida, Asparagales, Asparagaceae.